UAGCGUAGCAUCUUAGUACUUCUUAGUGUGUGUUCAAUAUGCUAGGAAGGCGAGGCAUGGACGCCGAGCCAGACUUCGCUGAGGCAGGAUGCCGAAUCGAAGGAGUUUCCGCAUACUGCAAUCAUCUAUCCAAACACACUUAGAAGUACUUAGAUGCGUAGCGU
Molecule: regulatory RNA element, 164 nt
Organism: Anaerosporobacter mobilis DSM 15930
Lineage: Bacteria; Bacillati; Bacillota; Clostridia; Lachnospirales; Lachnospiraceae
Source: Rfam